UCAAGCCCGGGCGUCCUCGGUUCACCCAACCGGCCGGAAAGCCGCAGCUCCCCAUCCCCCGGACACCUUGGGGAGCACGCUGGCGGGGUUCAGGGCUGAGGGGGCUCCCUGGACCCUGGCCGUCGACCUUGGCGUUUUGGGAGUCAGGGAAGAGGCCAUCUCACGAGCACCUGACCCGAAGCAACAACUGUGAAAAGAUUUCAAGAGGACAUCAGGCAAGAGGCGGAGAAGACGUGCAGCCAUCCCGCCCCAUCCACAGAGAUGCCACAGGCCAUGGCUGUUGCUGUCUCAACAAGCAACCAAAAAAAUCCAAACUUCAAGACAGGGAAGGAACACACGAGCACACCAGCAAAAUAAUACUCUAGCGGACUGAAGCAACACUGGAAAGCGCUCAUCUUAAUACACCAGCAAAGCGAAUCUACUUUUCCUGGGAACAACAUUUGAGGAACAUCCUCCCUCCCUCAGUGCAACGUGAGCUCUCCUAUAAGGCGUGGAACGCAGGAAGCUUUGGGAAUUUUGAAAGAAAACCUCUUUACAAUUUAAAACCAUCCGACCCGUAGAGAGCUGUUGGCUCUAGCCUGGGUGUCUUUCUCCUGAAUAUCAAUCAAUAACCGAGUCUGGACAAUGCACGGGAUCUGAAAGAUCUCAAGUGACAUCCCUGUUUCAAAGGCAAACACAUUUAGGGCCCCAAAUCAAAUGACAAGUAUUAAACAUUUCUCCAUCAAAAUAAGAAAGAAAAAACAUCAUCUCCCAUUGAAUUCUUCUUUAGAAAAAAAUUUACAAGGCACAGUGCCAGGCACACACAGCCUAUGAUGCAUUCAUCAACUAACCAAAGCCUAGAGGAUCACUGUCGCCCGUGAAAUCACGUCUUAGAUGUGAAAAUAUUUCUAAGGGCUGAAGAAUCUUUCUGUUAGUCCACUAUCCAGCUCCAGUCCUACUGAUA
Molecule: non-coding RNA, 943 nt
Organism: Kogia breviceps (pygmy sperm whale)
Lineage: Eukaryota; Metazoa; Chordata; Mammalia; Artiodactyla; Physeteridae
Source: RefSeq, a predicted model, not a curated record